This 41-nucleotide transfer RNA is filed under the name Penicillium urticae. Its description in RNAcentral is "partial tRNA-Leu-1". The record is from RNAcentral. Lineage: Eukaryota; Fungi; Ascomycota; Eurotiomycetes; Eurotiales; Aspergillaceae.
AUCCGAGUGCUGGAACUGGUAGACAGUCUUAACUUAAGCUU